This is a long non-coding RNA of Aegilops tauschii subsp. strangulata, 1705 nucleotides long. RefSeq lists it as uncharacterized. Lineage: Eukaryota; Viridiplantae; Streptophyta; Magnoliopsida; Poales; Poaceae. The record is from RefSeq and is a predicted model, not a curated record.
CCUUCCUAUUUUUUCCAUUCGGCCUUCAACAUGUGCCAUGACCAAAUCCAAAUCCCCCAAACCUAAAUCCUCUCACGCACUCCCUCCGUCGCCGCCCGCUAGCUAGCAGCCCGCACGCCGCCGACCACCCACGUCUCCAGCAUGCCGUCACCUGUCUCCUUCAUCCUCCUGCACCCCCACUGCUUAGGCCCCCCUACCUCGUGCGCUGGAGUUCGGGGAGAGGCCGAGGCGCGGUGGUGGACGUCGCCAUCCCUCUGAGAUCUGGGGCUGAGAGAGGGAGGUAGAGGUGGGUCACCUACGAGAGAGCACUCGCACCCUCGCUCGUCAGUCGUCACCCAGGGGCCGCCACCACCACCGCCACGCCAUGGGCUUCCUCCGAUCUGCGCUCGCCGGUUCAUCUGAAGAAGGAUCUGGCCGUUGACUGCUGGUGCUUCCCCUCCCCGGGCGAUCUACCAUUACUUGGGAUAGUACUUCUAUCCAGCAAGCAGCGUUUUGGAUGUGAGCUCCAGCUCAAGCAGAGCACAAAAAACAGGGGCUCUAUCUGCUAAUGGGGUAGCCGGCAACGCAGUCUAAGAGCUAAAUCUCAUGUGAUUUCUGGAUAUGAGAACUUGAGAAGAACUAGCUUGAUGCUAUUAUUGAAAAAAAAAUCUAUGCUACAGGAUUCUUCUUUGCAUCCCAUACACUUAGACGGAGUGGAGGCUGCCGCAGCGGUGCUGGACUCGAAGCCCAAGCCAUCAGACGCCGCCGACAGUCUGAUGCCUUCAGAAUUGGCUCUCAAAACUUUCAACCAAGAUUAGAGCUAGCAUACAGUUUCUAGUUUAUUGUCGUACUCAUACUCAAUGAGUCCCUACCUCGGCUUCUGGGCAAGAUAUUCUUUAAUUUUAGGUAAGCUCUAAUUUGUAAAGCAUUAUUGUGGCUUUUAGAAACUCCGAAUCUCAGAUUUAUUGAGAUAUCGAAAUCCCAGUUUGAGAUUCAUCGAGAUAAGGAGAUCUUAUUCGACCAUGUAAUUUAAAUAUUAUUCCAAUGAGUAUUGUUGAUUGUCGUUUUUAACAAUAUUACUCAACUUAUGGUCACUUCCCUUUGUUUAGUUCAGCACCAUUCUUUUCUCUUAUUCGUUUUGGUAAAAGAAAUCUCUCAAUAUCCUUUUUUGCUCAGCACCAGUAAAUUUCAUAGAGGUGAUGUAAUAUAUAAUGUCAUUAUUACUUUAGAAGUUGCAGAAGUGUAAUGCUGACUCUACUCGAAUGAUGAUUAUCCCUACAUGCAUAACAUAUUAUAAAGAUAUCUUCCUACGUGCCCCUUCUGUAAGGAUGCAUGCUGAUGUGUGCGCAUCGUUUCUAGCUUGUUUUGGUGCAUCUUUUAUCCUGCUUCAGCUGGUUAGCCUGAAUCCUCUUUUCUCCUGUUUCAGUUGAUUAGCAACCACUAUUGUUCAGGAAUUUUGAGUGGCGCACAUCCUGGUCUGGCGAGCCGAUGACCGGACAUCAUUUGUUAAGGAAGCAAAAAGGACUACACUCACAAGGAACCAUGAAGUCAACGAUCCACGUCAACUAGAUGUUUUAGCUUUCAUUUUGUACAACUGAUGUCUGAUACUUGCAUCUUUUGGUUGUCCUUUUGUAAACCUGAUGUAUGGUUUCUCGGUGGUUUUGUUUAGAACAGAUUGAAGUGUAUGUGCCAAUUAGUUAAUGGAAUAAAAAAUGUUUGGUGCUCC